Molecule: long non-coding RNA, 214 nt
Filed under: Elaeis guineensis (African oil palm)
Lineage: Eukaryota; Viridiplantae; Streptophyta; Magnoliopsida; Arecales; Arecaceae
Description: long non-coding RNA (EGUI_LNC030485)
Source: RNAcentral
UUUUUUAAUAGGUCCAAUCUUGUCUAAGAUCAAUUUGGAUUGUCUUGCUCGCUAUGGUGCUCCACUCUAAUCAUCAACAUGUUGAUCUCAACAGGGAUAACUGCUUUAGCUUUAAAAAUGAGGUUGAAAGAAGUUUCUCUGAUAGAUCCACAGUACGUUGUAGAGUUUUUCGGUUCAGAGCCCUUUAGCUUAGCCGAGUCUUGACUUCAACCCU